RNAcentral lists this ribosomal RNA (512 nucleotides) under uncultured bacterium. RNAcentral describes it as "partial 16S ribosomal RNA". It matches the Rfam family "Bacterial small subunit ribosomal RNA", at positions 28 to 507 of the family's 1533-position model. The record is from RNAcentral.
GAUGAACGCUGGCGGCGUGCCUAAUACAUGCAAGUCGAACGAAACUUCUUUAUCACCGAGUGCUUGCACUCACCGAUAAAGAGUUGAGUGGCGAACGGGUGAGUAACACGUGGGCAACCUGCCCAAAAGAGGGGGAUAACACUUGGAAACAGGUGCUAAUACCGCAUAACCAUAGUUACCGCAUGGUAACUAUGUAAAAGGUGGCUAUACUACCGCUUUUGGAUGGGCCCGCGGCGCAUUAGCUAGUUGGUAGGGUAAAGGCUUACCAAGGCAAUGAUGCGUAGCCGAAUUGAGAGGUUGAUCGGCCACAUUGGGACUGAGACACGGCCCAAGCUCCUACGGGAGGCAGCAGUAGGGAAUCUUCCACAAUGGGCGAAAGCCUGAUGGAGCAACGCCGCGUGGGUGAAGAAGGUCUUCGGAUCGUAAAACCCUGUUGUUAGAGAAGAAAGUGCGUGAGAGUAACUGUUCACGUUUCGACGGUAUCUAACCAGAAAGCCACGGCUAACUACGUG